GGACCCUUAGCUCAAUUGGAAGAGCAGUUCACUCAUAAUGAGAAGGUUACAGGUUCAAUUCCUGUAGGGUCCA
RNAcentral lists this transfer RNA (73 nucleotides) under marine sediment metagenome. Its description in RNAcentral is "tRNA-Met". It matches the Rfam family "tRNA". Rfam says of the family: Transfer RNA (tRNA) molecules are approximately 80 nucleotides in length. Their secondary structure includes four short double-helical elements and three loops (D, anti-codon, and T loops). The record is from RNAcentral.